RNAcentral lists this ribosomal RNA (817 nucleotides) under uncultured bacterium. Its description in RNAcentral is "bacterial SSU rRNA". It matches the Rfam family "Bacterial small subunit ribosomal RNA", at positions 28 to 863 of the family's 1533-position model. The record is from RNAcentral.
AACGAACGCUGGCGGCGUGCUUAACACAUGCAAGUCGAGUGCGCGCCUGUAGCAAUACAGGUGGCGCACGGCGCACGGGUGCGUAACACGUGGGCAAUCUGCCCUCUGAUGGGGAAUAACCCGCCGAAAGGCGGGCUAAUACCGCAUAAAAUUCCUUGGACUUAUGUUCGAGGACUCAAAGGCGUAAGUCGUCGGAGGANGAGCCCGCGCACGAUUAACUAGUUGGUAGGGUAAUGGCCUACCAAGGCUUUGAUCGUUAGCUGGUCUGANAGGAUGGCCAGCCACACUGGAACUGANACACGGUCCAGACUCCUACGGGAGGCAGCAGUGGGGAAUAUUGNACAAUGGGGGCAACCCUGAUCCAGCCAUGCCGCGUGAGUGAUGAAGGCCCUAGGGUUGUAAAGCUCUUUUGUGCGGGAAGAUAAUGACGGUACCGCAAGAAUAAGCCCCGGCUAACUUCGUGCCAGCAGCCGCGGUAAUACGAAGGGGGCUAGCGUUGCUCGGAAUCACUGGGCGUAAAGGGUGCGUAGGCGGGUUUUUAAGUCANGGGUGAAAUCCUGGAGCUCAACUCCAGAACUGCCUUUGAUACUGAAGAUCUUGAGUCCGGUAGAGGUGAGUGGAACUGCAAAUGUACAGGUGAAAUUCGUAGAUAUUCGCAAGAACACCAGUGGCGAAGGCGGCUCACUGGCCCGGUACUGACGCUGAGGCACGAAAGCGUGGGGAGCAACAGGAUUAGAUACCCUGGUAGUCCACGCCGUAGACGAUGAAUGCCAGCCGUUAGUGGGUUUACUCACUAGUGGCGCAGCUAACGCUUUAA